GACGAACGCUGGCGGCGUGCUUAACACAUGCAAGUCGAGCGGUAAGGCCCUUUCGGGGGUACGACGAGCGGCGAACGGGUGAGUACCACGUGGGUGACCUGCCCUUAGCUCUGGGAUAAGCCUGGGAAACUGGGUCUAAUACCGGAUAUGACUCCAUGACGCAUGUUGUGGGGUGGAAAGCCUUGUGCGGCUAGGGAUGGGCCCGCGGCCUAUCAGCUUGUUGGUGGGGUGAUGGCCUACCAAGGCGACGACGGGUAGCCGGCCUGAGAGGGCGACCGGCCACACUGGGACUGAGACACGGCCCAGACUCCUACGGGAGGCAGCAGUGGGGAAUCUUGCGCAAUGGGCGAAAGCCUGACGCAGCGACGCCGCGUGGGGGAUGAC
Molecule: ribosomal RNA, 384 nt
Filed under: uncultured bacterium
Lineage: Bacteria
Description: bacterial SSU rRNA
Rfam family: Bacterial small subunit ribosomal RNA
Source: RNAcentral